RNAcentral lists this unclassified non-coding RNA (398 nucleotides) under uncultured Elaphomyces. RNAcentral describes it as "sequence contains ITS2". The stretch from base 1 to 154 matches the Rfam family "5.8S ribosomal RNA". The record is from RNAcentral. Lineage: Eukaryota; Fungi; Ascomycota; Eurotiomycetes; Eurotiales; Elaphomycetaceae.
AACUUUUAACAACGGAUCUCUUGGUUCCGGCAUCGAUGAAGAACGCAGCAAAAUGCGAUAAGUAAUGUGAAUUGCAGAAUUCCGUGAAUCAUCGAAUCUUUGAACGCAUAUUGCGCCCUCCGGUAUUCCGGAGGGCAUGCCUGUCCGAGUGUCAUUGCCUUCCCUCCAAGCCCCUCUUGGCUUUGGAUGUUGGGCCGUUUUGUCCCCUUGCUUCUCCGGGGGGACAGGCCUGAAAGACAGUGGCGAUGCCGUAGUCAACCCCCGAGCGUAUGGGUGUCUUCCGCUCUCUAGGCUUGAUUGGCAUCCGCCGUCCUCCUGCACUGCAGUGUUUGACUCCAGUGGACCUCGGAUCAGGUAAGGAUACCCGCUGAACUUAAGCAUAUCAAUAAGCGGAGGCU